CUACGGGUCGCUGCAGUGAGGAAUAUUGGUCAAUGGGCGCAAGCCUGAACCAGCCAAUCCGCGUGCAGGAUGACUGCCCUAUGGGUUGUAAACUGCUUUUAUACAGGAAGAACCCUCCAUACGUGUAUGGGGUUGACUGUACUGUAAGAAUAAGCAUCGGCUAACUCCGUGCCAGCAGCCGCGGUAAUACGGAGGAUGCGAGCGUUAUCCGGAUUUAUUAGGUCUAAAGGGUGCGUAGGCGGAUAAUUAAGUCAGUGGUGAAAUCCUACAGCUUAAUUGUAGAACUGCCAUUGAUACUGGUUGUCUUGAGUUUAGUUGAGGUAAGCGGAAUGUGUAGUGUAGCGGUGAAAUGCUUAGAUAUUACACAGAACACCGAUUGCGAAGGCAGCUUACUAAGCUACAACUGACGCUGAGGCACGAAAGCGUGGGGAGCGAACAGGAUUAGAUACCCGCGUAGUC
Molecule: ribosomal RNA, 459 nt
Filed under: uncultured bacterium
Lineage: Bacteria
Description: partial 16S ribosomal RNA
Rfam family: Bacterial small subunit ribosomal RNA
Source: RNAcentral